AGCCCCGAGGUGUUUGCUGUGAUUGAUUGCAAAUCUUAAGUUGAGGGUUUGUCACCCUCCGGGGCUU
This 67-nucleotide transfer RNA is filed under the name Grammistes sexlineatus. Its description in RNAcentral is "tRNA-Cys". The record is from RNAcentral. Lineage: Eukaryota; Metazoa; Chordata; Actinopteri; Perciformes; Serranidae.